CCUACGGGAGGCAGCAGUAAGGAAUAUUGGUCAAUGGACGCAAGUCUGAACCAGCCAUGCCGCGUGAAGGAUGAAGGUCCUCUGGAUUGUAAACUUCUUUUAUAGGGGACGAAAAAAGGGAAUUCUUUCUCACUUGACGGUACCCUAGGAAUAAGCACCGGCUAACUCCGUGCCAGCAGCCGCGGUAAUACGGAGGGUGCAAGCGUUAUCCGGAUUCACUGGGUUUAAAGGGUGCGUAGGUGGGCAUUUAAGUCAGUGGUGAAAUCUCCGGGCUUAACCCGGAAACUGCCAUUGAUACUAUUUGUCUUGAAUAUUGUGGAGGUAAGCGGAAUAUGUCAUGUAGCGGUGAAAUGCUUAGAUAUGACAUAGAACACCCAUUGCAAGGCAGCUUACUACGCAAAUAUUGACACUGAGGCACGAAAGCUGGGGAUCAAACAGGAUUAGAUACCCUGGUAGUCCACGCCCUAAACGAUGGGAUACUCGACAUACAGCGAUACACAGUGUGUCUGUAGCGAAGACGAUAGUA
RNAcentral lists this ribosomal RNA (526 nucleotides) under uncultured bacterium. RNAcentral describes it as "bacterial SSU rRNA". It matches the Rfam family "Bacterial small subunit ribosomal RNA", at positions 338 to 865 of the family's 1533-position model. The record is from RNAcentral.